RNAcentral lists this long non-coding RNA (226 nucleotides) under Mytilus galloprovincialis (Mediterranean mussel). The record is from RNAcentral. Lineage: Eukaryota; Metazoa; Mollusca; Bivalvia; Mytilida; Mytilidae.
GUGCGACAUGUAAAAAAAAACCUCCCCCUUUUUUACAAAAUACUCAAUAACUCAAAAAUAAAAUUUUGAAUCAUCACCAAAAAGUAUACAGAUAUUACGAUUAAUAUAACUAAGAAGUGUUUAAAGUUUUAAGCCAUAAUCAAGAAUCGUUUUUGAGAUACGGUGCGACAUGUGAAAAAAAACACACCCCUGUUUUAGUUACAAAGUGCCGUAACUCAAAAAGUUU